This 253-nucleotide ribosomal RNA is filed under the name uncultured bacterium. RNAcentral describes it as "partial 16S ribosomal RNA". It matches the Rfam family "Bacterial small subunit ribosomal RNA", at positions 524 to 776 of the family's 1533-position model. The record is from RNAcentral.
UACGUAGGGCGCGAGCGUUGUCCGGAUUUAUUGGGCGUAAAGAGCUCGUAGGCGGCUCGUUGCGUCAACCGUGAAAACCCGGGGCUUAACUUCGGGCUUGCGGUUGAUACGGGCGGGCUGGAGUUCGGUAGGGGAGACUGGAAUUCCUGGUGUAGCGGUGAAAUGCGCAGAUAUCAGGAGGAACACCGGUGGCGAAGGCGGGUCUCUGGGCAGAUACUGACGCUGAGGAGCGAAAGCCAGGGGAGCAAACGGG